Molecule: ribosomal RNA, 484 nt
Filed under: uncultured bacterium
Lineage: Bacteria
Description: partial 16S ribosomal RNA
Rfam family: Bacterial small subunit ribosomal RNA
Source: RNAcentral
AUUGAACGCUGGCGGCAGGCCUAACACAUGCAAGUCGAGCGGAUGAAGGGAGCUUGCUCCUGGAUUCAGCGGCGGACGGGUGAGUAAUGCCUAGGAAUCUGCCUGGUAGUGGGGGAUAACGUCCGGAAACGGGCGCUAAUACCGCAUACGUCCUGAGGGAGCAAGUGGGGGAUCUUCGGACCUCACGCUAUCAGAUGAGCCUAGGUCGGAUUAGCUAGUUGGUGGGGUAAAGGCCUACCAAGGCGACGAUCCGUAACUGGUCUGAGAGGAUGAUCAGUCACACUGGAACUGAGACACGGUCCAGACUCCUACGGGAGGCAGCAGUGGGGAAUAUUGGACAAUGGGCGAAAGCCUGAUCCAGCCAAGCCGCGUGUGUGAAGAAGGUCUUCGGAUUGUAGAGCACUUUAAGUUGGGAGGAAGGGCAGUAAGUUAAUACCUUGCUGUUUUGACGUUACCAACAGAAUAAGCACCGGCUAACCUCGUG